This 167-nucleotide ribosomal RNA is filed under the name uncultured bacterium. Its description in RNAcentral is "partial 16S ribosomal RNA". It matches the Rfam family "Bacterial small subunit ribosomal RNA", at positions 1335 to 1500 of the family's 1533-position model. The record is from RNAcentral.
CUAGUAAUCGUAGGUCAGCAUACUACGGUGAAUACGUUCUCGGGCCUUGUACACACCGCCCGUCAAACCAUGAGAGUUGGCAACACCCGAAGUCGGUAGUCUAACCGCAAGGAGGACGCCGCCGAAGGUGGGGUUGAUGAUUAGGGGUUAAGUCGUAACAAGGUACC